AAAAAAAAGAAACCAAAAAACCACAAAACAAACCAAGAAAUAACCCAUACUCCCCUAUUCCUAUUGCAAGGAACUGCAUCAAAACCAAACUCAUCCAUGAAAUGGAUGUCUGUAAUAUCUAAAUAAUUUCCAUCUGAGCACCUACAGAAAGCAAAAAGGUGUUUGGGGGAUGGAAAGAAUCCCAGUCUGAAAUGGUGAAACACUGUUGAAAGAGGCACCUUAUUAUUUUACAAAAGUACCUGUAAAGAAAGACAGAUACUUACAGAUUACUUACAGAUGUGUUAACAGUAAUUUUUGUUCCCUUAACUCUGCAUGUUUAAUUCUUCAGCUGUUUCUUCUCUCUCAGAAAUACAAAGUGUUGCUUGUACAUACUAUUUAAAUAACAGUGUUUCUUCUGUUAUUGACAGACACUGCCUGACCAAAAAGGUUACAGAUGGAGAGACAGACAAAAAUACUUAGUUCUCGGGAAAACAAAGACACCACUUCAGAUCUGUUCCACCGUUUGCCAUAAAGCCAGCUAUGAACCUGAACGCAUGCAAACUCGGCAAGCAGCAAUUCUGAGGAGAACUUCCCUCCAGUGGGUGAAAUUCUCAAGACCAUUAUGAAGCAGUGGCUCAUCUUAACUACAUCUUCUGGAAAAUAAGCCGUGUGUGGAGUUAAGUUACUUUUAAAACCAAUAGCAUUUCUAAGUGAGAGAGUCCAAGGCCAAGCCUGUCUUCCAGCAGCCUGUCUAACCUAUGUGUCCAGUCUUUCAAACUGUAACUAG
This is a long non-coding RNA of Neopsephotus bourkii (Bourke's parrot), 766 nucleotides long. RefSeq lists it as uncharacterized. NCBI's taxonomy places the organism in Eukaryota, Metazoa, Chordata, Aves, Psittaciformes, Psittacidae. The transcript has 3 exons. The record is from RefSeq and is a predicted model, not a curated record.